This 401-nucleotide ribosomal RNA is filed under the name uncultured bacterium. RNAcentral describes it as "bacterial SSU rRNA". It matches the Rfam family "Bacterial small subunit ribosomal RNA", at positions 28 to 428 of the family's 1533-position model. The record is from RNAcentral.
AUUGAACGCUGGCGGCAUGCUUUACACAUGCAAGUCGAACGGCAGCACGGGUGCUUGCACCUGGUGGCGAGUGGCGAACGGGUGAGUAAUGCAUCGGAACGUGCCCAUGAGUGGGGGAUAGCCCGGCGAAAGCCGGAUUAAUACCGCAUACGCCCUUAGGGGGGAAAGCGGGGGGAUCUUCGGACCUCGCGCUAUUGGAGCGGCCGAUGUCGGAUUAGCUAGUAGGUGAGGUAAAGGCUCACCUAGGCGACGAUCCGUAGCUGGUCUGAGAGGAUGAUCAGCCACACUGGGACUGAGACACGGCCCAGACUCCUACGGGAGGCAGCAGUGGGGAAUUUUGGACAAUGGGCGCAAGCCUGAUCCAGCCAUGCCGCGUGAGUGAAGAAGGCCUUCGGUUGUAA